AAUGAACGUUGGCGGCGUGGAUUAGGCAUGCAAGUCGAGCGACGCAUUUGCCUUCGGGUGGAUGACGGAGCGGCGAAAGGGAGAGUAACGCGUAGAUACCUACCCUCGGAUCCGGGAUAGCGGCGGGAAACUGCCGGUAAUACCAGAUAACGUCCCCGGACCAAAGGUUUCGGCCGUCCGAGGAGGGGUCUGCGUCCUAUUAGCUAGUUGGCGGGGUAAUGGCCCACCAAGGCGUAGAUGGGUAGCGGGUGUGAGAGCAUGACCCGCCUCACUGGGACUGAGACACUGCCCAGACACCUACGGGUGGCUG
RNAcentral lists this ribosomal RNA (310 nucleotides) under uncultured Planctomycetota bacterium. Its description in RNAcentral is "bacterial SSU rRNA". It matches the Rfam family "Bacterial small subunit ribosomal RNA", at positions 29 to 351 of the family's 1533-position model. The record is from RNAcentral. Lineage: Bacteria; Pseudomonadati; Planctomycetota.